UACGAAGGGGGCUAGCGUUGUUCGGAAUUACUGGGCGUAAAGCGCACGUAGGCGGUUUUUUAAGUCAGAUGUGAAAGCCCCGGGCUCAACCUGGGAAUUGCAUUUGAAACUGGGAAACUAGAGUGUGUGAGAGGGGGGUAGAAUUCCAAGUGUAGCGGUGAAAUGCGUAGAUAUAGGAAGGAACACCAGUGGCGAAGGCGACCACCUGGACUGAUACUGACACUGAGGUGCGAAAGCGUGGGGAGCAAACAGG
RNAcentral lists this ribosomal RNA (253 nucleotides) under uncultured bacterium. Its description in RNAcentral is "partial 16S ribosomal RNA". It matches the Rfam family "Bacterial small subunit ribosomal RNA", at positions 524 to 776 of the family's 1533-position model. The record is from RNAcentral.